Molecule: ribosomal RNA, 346 nt
Filed under: uncultured eukaryote
Lineage: Eukaryota
Description: SSU rRNA
Rfam family: Eukaryotic small subunit ribosomal RNA
Source: RNAcentral
AUAGCGUAUAUUAAAGUUGUUGCAGUUAAAAAGCUCGUAGUUGAACUUCAGACCUGGCUGGGCGGUCAGCUUAACAGCGUGUACUGUCUGGCUGGGCCUUACCUCUUGGUGAGCCGGCAUGCCCUUUACUGGGUGUGUUGGGGAACCAGGACUUUUACCUUGAGAAAAUUAGAGUGUUCAAAGCAGGCCUAUGCCCGAAUACAUUAGCAUGGAAUAAUAAAAUAGGACGUGCGGUUCUAUUUUGUUGGUUUCUAGAGUCGCCGUAAUGAUUAAUAGGGAUAGUUGGGGGCAUUAGUAUUCAGUUGCUAGAGGUGAAAUUCUUGGAUUUACUGAAGACUAACUAUUG